UUGGCGGACGGGGUGAGUAACGCGUGAGGAACCUGCCUCAGAGUGGGGGGAGUAACACACCGAAAGGUGUGCUAAUACCGCAUAACAUAUGGAGGGGCAUCCCUUUCAUAUCAAAGAUUUAUUGCUCUGAGAUGGCCUCGCGUCCAAUUAGCUAGUUGGCGGGGUAACGGCCCACCAAGGCGACGAUUGGUAGCCGGACUGAGAGGUUGAACGGCCACAUUGGGACUGAGACACGGCCCAGACUCCUACGGAAGGCAGCAG
This 261-nucleotide ribosomal RNA is filed under the name uncultured bacterium. Its description in RNAcentral is "partial 16S ribosomal RNA". It matches the Rfam family "Bacterial small subunit ribosomal RNA", at positions 95 to 354 of the family's 1533-position model. The record is from RNAcentral.